Molecule: ribosomal RNA, 874 nt
Filed under: Alteromonas sp. 47(2010)
Lineage: Bacteria; Pseudomonadati; Pseudomonadota; Gammaproteobacteria; Alteromonadales; Alteromonadaceae
Description: bacterial SSU rRNA
Rfam family: Bacterial small subunit ribosomal RNA
Source: RNAcentral
GCUGACGAGUGGCGGACGGGUGAGUAAUGCUUGGGAACUUGCCUUUGCGAGGGGGAUAACAGUUGGAAACGACUGCUAAUACCGCAUAAUGUCUACGGACCAAACGGGGCUUAGGCUCCGGCGCAAAGAGAGGCCCAAGUGAGAUUAGCUAGUUGGUAAGGUAAAGGCUUACCAAGGCAACGAUCUCUAGCUGUUCUGAGAGGAAGAUCAGCCACACUGGAACUGAGACACGGUCCAGACUCCUACGGGAGGCAGCAGUGGGGAAUAUUGCACAAUGGGGGAAACCCUGAUGCAGCCAUGCCGCGUGUGUGAAGAAGGCCUUCGGGUUGUAAAGCACUUUCAGUUGUGAGGAAAAGUUAGUAGUUAAUACCUGCUAGCCGUGACGUUAACAACAGAAGAAGCACCGGCUAACUCCGUGCCAGCAGCCGCGGUAAUACGGAGGGUGCGAGCGUUAAUCGGAAUUACUGGGCGUAAAGCGCACGCAGGCGGUUUGUUAAGCUAGAUGUGAAAGCCCCGGGCUCAACCUGGGAUGGUCAUUUAGAACUGGCAGACUAGAGUCUUGGAGAGGGGAGUGGAAUUCCAGGUGUAGCGGUGAAAUGCGUAGAUAUCUGGAGGAACAUCAGUGGCGAAGGCGACUCCCUGGCCAAAGACUGACGCUCAUGUGCGAAAGUGUGGGUAGCGAACAGGAUUAGAUACCCUGGUAGUCCACACCGUAAACGCUGUCUACUAGCUGUUUGUGACUUUAAGUCGUGAGUAGCGAAGCUAACGCGAUAAGUAGACCGCCUGGGGAGUACGGCCGCAAGGUUAAAACUCAAAUGAAUUGACGGGGGCCCGCACAAGCGGUGGAGCAUGUGGUUUAUUCGAUGCACGCGAG